UACGUAGGGUGCAAGCGUUAUCCGGAAUCAUUGGGCGUAAAGGGUUCGUAGGUGGUCAAGCAAGUUUGUAGUUAAAUCCGGUCGCUUAACGAUCGAAUCGUUACGAAAACUACUCGACUAGAGAAUGGCAGAGGCAACUGGAAUUCCACAUGUAGGGGUAAAAUCCGUUGAUAUGUGGAGGAACACCAAAAGCGAAGGCAGGUUGCUGGGCCAUUUCUGACACUGAGGAACGAAAGCGUGGGGAGCAAACAGG
Molecule: ribosomal RNA, 253 nt
Filed under: uncultured bacterium
Lineage: Bacteria
Description: partial 16S ribosomal RNA
Rfam family: Bacterial small subunit ribosomal RNA
Source: RNAcentral